This 268-nucleotide ribosomal RNA is filed under the name Salinimicrobium oceani. Its description in RNAcentral is "Salinimicrobium sp. CDJ15-91 partial 23S ribosomal RNA". It matches the Rfam family "Bacterial large subunit ribosomal RNA", at positions 1082 to 1349 of the family's 2925-position model. The record is from RNAcentral. Lineage: Bacteria; Pseudomonadati; Bacteroidota; Flavobacteriia; Flavobacteriales; Flavobacteriaceae.
UGCUUAGACAGCUAGGAUGUUGGCUUGGAAGCAGCCAUUCAUUUAAAGAGUGCGUAACAGCUCACUAGUCGAGCGGUUCGGCAUGGAUAAUAAUCGGGCAUAAACAUACUACCGAAGCUAUGGAUUUACAACAUAAGUUGUGAGUGGUAGGGGAGCAUUGUAACAGCGUAGAAGGUGUACUGCGAGGUAUGCUGGAGCGGUUACAAAAGAAAAUGUAGGCAUAAGUAACGAUAAUGCGGGCGAGAAACCCGCACACCGAAAGACUAAG